CGGCAGGCACUUGGAGGGGCCAUUUAAAAUCUAAAGGCUAAAACUCACAGACAUCAAGAUUGACAUUAAAAGAGUCCCUAAUAAGAAAACCAUGGUUACUGGUAAAGAACAAGUGAAAGAGCAGUUCUUAGGGAAGAAAGAUUAUCUUCUAAUUUAUUUUGAAAGCUCAAGAUGGCUGUUCAUUGUGAGGAAAAAUGGAGAAACGUGGAUUUGACGAGUUCAUUUCAUCAUUUGCAACAUCUUCAGCCAUUGUUUAUAGUUAUUACUUCAACUGGGAGCUC
This is a long non-coding RNA of Helianthus annuus (common sunflower), 281 nucleotides long. RefSeq lists it as uncharacterized. The record is from RefSeq and is a predicted model, not a curated record. The transcript is spliced from 3 exons. Lineage: Eukaryota; Viridiplantae; Streptophyta; Magnoliopsida; Asterales; Asteraceae.